AGAGUUUGAUCCUGGCUCAGAUUGAACGCUGGCGGCAUGCUUUACACAUGCAAGUCGAACGGCAGCGCGGGGGCAACCCUGGCGGCGAGUGGCGAACGGGUGAGUAAUAUAUCGGAACGUACCCAGAAGUGGGGGAUAACGUAGCGAAAGUUACGCUAAUACCGCAUACGAUCUACGGAUGAAAGUGGGGGACCUUCGGGCCUCAUGCUUUUGGAGCGGCCGAUAUCUGAUUAGCUAGUUGGUGAGGUAAAGGCUCACCAAGGCGACGAUCAGUAGCUGGUCUGAGAGGACGACCAGCCUCACUGGAACUGAGACACGGUCCAGACUCCUACGGGAGGCAGCAGUGGGGAAUUUUGGACAAUGGGGGCAACCCUGAUCCAGCAAUGCCGCGUGAGUGAAGAAGGCCUUCGGGUUGUAAAGCUCUUUUGUCAGGGAAGAAACGGGGGUGGCUAAUACCUGCUCCUAAUGACGGUACCUGAAGAAUAAGCACCGGCUAACUACGUG
Molecule: ribosomal RNA, 504 nt
Filed under: uncultured bacterium
Lineage: Bacteria
Description: bacterial SSU rRNA
Rfam family: Bacterial small subunit ribosomal RNA
Source: RNAcentral